UCCCCUAGUAACUGCGAGUGAAGCGGGAAAAGCUCAAAUUUAAAAUCUGGCGGUCUUUGGCCGUCCGAGUUGUAGUCUGGAGAAGUGCUUUCCGCGCUGGACCGUGUAUAAGUCUCUUGGAACAGAGCGUCAUAGAGGGUGAGAAUCCCGUCUUUGACACGGACUACCAGUGCUUUGUGAUGCGCUCUCAAAGAGUCGAGUUGUUUGGGAAUGCAGCUCAAAAUGGGUGGUGAAUUCCAUCUAAAGCUAAAUAUUGGCGAGAGACCGAUAGCGAACAAGUACCGUGAGGGAAAGAUGAAAAGCACUUUGGAAAGAGAGUUAAACAGUACGUGAAAUUGCUGAAAGGGAAACGCUUGAAGUCAGUCGCGUCGUCCGGAACUCAGCCUUGCUUUUUUGCUUGGUGCACUUUCCGGAUUGACGGGUCAGCAUCGAUUUUGACCGUCGGAAAAGGGCUGGAGUAAUGUGGCACCUUAUGGUGUGUUAUAGACUCUGGUCGCAUACGGCGGUUGGGAUCGAGGAACGCAGCGCGCCGUAAGGCAGGGGUUUAUCCCACUUUCGCGCUUAGGAUGCUGGCAUAAUGGCUUUAAACGACCCGUCUUGAAACACGGACCAAGGAGUCUAACAUACCUGCGAGUGUUUGGGUGGAAAACCCGAGCGCGUAAUGAAAGUGAAAGUUGAGACCCCUGUCGUGGGGGGCAUCGACGCCCGGACCUGACGUUCUCUGACGGAUCCGCGGUAGAGCAUGUAUGUUGGGACCCGAAAGAUGGUGAACUAUGCCUGAAUAGGGUGAAGCCAGAGGAAACUCUGGUGGAGGCUCGUAGCGAUUCUGACGUGCAAAUCGAUCGUCAAAUUUGGGUAUAGGGGCGAAAGACUAAUCGAACCAUCUAGUAGCUGGUCCUGCC
Molecule: ribosomal RNA, 902 nt
Filed under: Ganoderma enigmaticum
Lineage: Eukaryota; Fungi; Basidiomycota; Agaricomycetes; Polyporales; Polyporaceae
Description: eukaryotic LSU rRNA
Rfam family: Eukaryotic large subunit ribosomal RNA
Source: RNAcentral